Molecule: ribosomal RNA, 274 nt
Filed under: uncultured prasinophyte
Lineage: Eukaryota; Viridiplantae; Chlorophyta
Description: partial 16S ribosomal RNA
Rfam family: Bacterial small subunit ribosomal RNA
Source: RNAcentral
UAUUGGCUGGCAGCGUGCCUAACACAUGCACGUCGAACGGUAGUAUUAUCUUCGGAUAAUAUGAGAGUGGCGAACGGGUGAGUAACACGUAAGAAUCUACCUUUAGGACGGGGAUAACUUCUGGAAACGGAUGCUAAUACCCGAUAUGCUGUGGAGUGAAAUGAAUUUCGCCUAAAGAUGAUCUUGCGUCUGAUUAGCUAGAUAGGGUGGUAAUGGCGCCCUAUGGCGACGAUCAGUAGCUGGUCUGAGAGGAUGGACAGCCACAUUGGGACUC